GACGAACGCUGGCGGCGUGCUUAACACAUGCAAGUCGAACGGAAGGGCGCUGCUUUUGUGGGUUUCUCGUGUGGCGAACGGGUGAGUAACACGCGUGUAACCUGCCCCUGACUUUGUGAUAACUUCAGGAAAAUGGGGCUAUUACCGGAUAUGAGCUUCUGCUGCACGGUGGGGGUUGGAAAGAUUCGGCGUUUGGGGCUGGACUCGCUGCUUAUCAGCUUGUUUGUGGAGUAGUGGCUUACCAAGGCUUUGACGGGUAGCCGGCCUGGGAGGGGUACCGGGGACCUUGCGACUACGAGACGGACCAGAAGGGAACGGUACGCAACAGUGGGAAGUAUUGCAGAGUGGGCGGAAGUCAGAUGUGGAAGCGCCGGGUGCGGGAUGACGGCCUUCGAGUUAUAAACAGAUUUGGAAUGUGACGAAGACUGAGUGACGGUACUGGGUCAAGAAGCACCGGCUAACUACGUG
Molecule: ribosomal RNA, 468 nt
Filed under: uncultured bacterium
Lineage: Bacteria
Description: partial 16S ribosomal RNA
Rfam family: Bacterial small subunit ribosomal RNA
Source: RNAcentral